Homo sapiens (human) is the source of this 820-nucleotide long non-coding RNA. RefSeq lists it as uncharacterized. The transcript has 4 exons. Lineage: Eukaryota; Metazoa; Chordata; Mammalia; Primates; Hominidae. The record is from RefSeq and is a predicted model, not a curated record.
UUUCCGGAGGUGGAAGAGAAAUGGCUCCUUAGACCCUUGCUGGGGAUAGUUACUGAAAGGGGCACUUUUUUCUUUUACAGCCCAUAAAGAGCGCUUUCCCAGAUGUGGUCUCCCUGUGUUGCCCAGGCUGCUCUGGAACUCCUGGGGGAAAGUGAUCCUCCUGCCUAGGCCUUCCAAAGUGUUGUGAUUACAAACGUGAGCUACCUGCCUGGCCAAGGAUCUGGAAUUUUUGUUGUUAACACUCCAGGAGGAAACCUGGCUGAGGAUAAUGACUGAGAUUACUUAUUGUAAGAGAAGGCUGCUGAAGUUUAGAAAAACACACCUAUCCACCAUCAGGCGGGCCACUGGCUUCACAUUCUUCUUUUAUCUAAAAAACAAGGCAGACUCCCUGUGGCUCAAAAGCUAAAAGCAGAACCAAGAGGCCAUAGCAGAGUGAGGGAGUGAUCAUGCACUCUGUAUCUGUCAAAACUAUUGUAAAACCAGUUUUUCUGCAAUCAAGUCAAAGAACAGUUCCUGAAAACAAUGUCAAAAACAACUACAGCUGGAAAUUCCCCAACUGACCACCAAUAGGUUACCUGGUGCCAGCCAAUUACCUGGAAUCAGCCAACUAAGAGAGACUGGUUAUUUGGGAGAUCAAAGGUUUUCCAAUCAAGACUGUGUUCCUCACUCCCUGACUCCUCUUCUGGCCUGCAAUCUUCAUCUUUAUGAUAUAUAACUCUCCAAUCCCCUCCUUAGAGUGCACUUUUGUUUUGCACUGAAGGCUGUCUCCUCAAUCUGCAGGUUGCUUUUAGAAAAUAAAGUUCUCCUUUUGCCUCCACAA